AUGCUCCAAAGGAUUCACAAGGUGGUACGAUCACGAGUCAUUUUGGUUAUGAGAAGGCAUACUCAGAUGCUCAACUCCAUCAUCCUUGAGGAACUCCUAAAGGUGACCUCCUUCCCUUUGAGCCAUCAUCAAGUACGCAUAUUGGAUGGGUCACUAUUUCAUUGUUGUUUCCUUCUUGUUGUCUACAUGAUACAUCUCGCGAAAGGAGGAGCGACAUUGGAGAUUGGCUCUAUGGACCUUCACAUUGAGGAGCGCUCGCACUUAUUGGAUGCACCUUCAGAACUACACUCAUGCCACGACAUCGUGCAUUGGUACACCAACACCUCCAUAUUUGUUGAUUGUGCUCACACUUGUUAUGCUCGAUGGACAUAUCAUACUCACCACAAGUUUGCACCCUAUGCGUGGAUUGACUCACAUUAUGAUUGUCUUUUUGCAUCUUGUAUUCCAAUGUCGUCCAUGAUAUAUGAGCUUGUGCAUUUCCUUAGCAAUUUUUUUGUGAUCUACCUUGAUGGCAUAUUCAUAUAUCAUGAUCAUAUUGUUCACCAUCAAUUGCAUGAUAACAUAAUCAUAUUGAGCAUCCAUUUCCAUAUUCAUGCUAUUGAUAAACCGUCUCACUAUGACAUCAUUUUGCACCUGUGGUUGCAUUGA
Molecule: ribosomal RNA, 648 nt
Filed under: Triticum aestivum (bread wheat)
Lineage: Eukaryota; Viridiplantae; Streptophyta; Magnoliopsida; Poales; Poaceae
Description: partial small subunit ribosomal RNA
Source: RNAcentral